GGCGAUCCAGCCUCGAGCGCGAGAUACAGGCCUUAGCACUAGAUGCACGCCUAGCGUGCGGCCCAGCUCGGAGAGCCGCCCCAAGCAUCAAGUGCAGCCCGGGGCGCGCGGCCGACCCCAAUGCGAGAUGCUGCAGCUUGCUCGAGGCAGGACGACCCGAGCGCGGGCGGAAGGCCCGGAGCGGUUUCCAGAGAACACGUAGUUGGCGGGGUGGCGGCGGGGGGAGGGCGGGCUGAAAUCAAAGUGAGAAGGCCAUCACCUCCUCCCAAUGCCUCCUUCCCACCCCCACCUUCCCUUGGAGGAAAGUCUCUAGCCAUGAAGCGAGUCUGGGCCCUGCUCUCUGCAGUGUUUCUUUACCUUUCUGAAGGAGUAGGAGAGCUGUUUUCUGUCCCAGAAAAAAAAAACUACAUUUAUGGCAACGUAGAACACCCAGUGAAAAUCUAUGUAAAAAUGCACCAUAAUAGUCCAUUUCUUGCCUGCAUGGAUAAAGAGCUUUCUCAAACAGAAAUAAUAGACCCCAUAUCUUUUUGGAUGGGACCAAAUGGAAAGCCUUUAAAAGAGAACAGUCAUAUAAACCUAACUUCAGAAGGAAAGCUAAUGAUUACAAGUUUUCAAGCAUCUUUGUCUGGAUCUUACAUAUGUACUCUUAGUUAUAAAAUCAUCAGUGAAGAAACACAAAAAGAACAAGAGAUAUAUAACAUAUAUACAUUUAUGGUAUUUGGAUACCAGGAACCCGAUUUUGCAUAUCAAAUGACAGUACGAUUUACCACAGAUUCUUGUAAUGGAAAAAAAAAUUCUCAGUUCUUCAAAUUACUGAUAAGGAUAUUAGAUGAAAUCAUCAUUGAUUUGACAUGCUACAUUGAAGAACCAUCAUAUAAAUGCCAUUUUCUCGAAAUUCCAAAACAUGGUCUCAAGGAGGAACUAUUUAUAGCCUUUCAAGUAAGACCUUUCUCACCAGAGCGGAAAGCAGCUUGCAGUAAACUUUCUGUUGACUGUGAGGAAAUCACUAACAGUAACGUUCACCAGGCAAGAAAUCGCAUAGAAGAGUUCUUUCUCAAACAGACAAAUAUUUUGAAACAUGAAUUUAACUAUAUACCAAAUAUCCAUUAUGUCGAACACAGCUUUAAAGUAAUACGCAUUGACAGCUGUCAACCAGGCUUUGGGAAAAAUGAUAUUCUACAUAGUGACUGUGCUAGCUGCUGUGUGGUUUGUGAUCCAAGAACAUAUAGUCCUAACACUGAUGUAACUUGUCAAGCCUGCUUAACUGUCCACAUCUAUGGAGCUAAAACUUGCCAUAAACCCAAACCAAAAACUGGAAAAUUGAAGACAAGAGAUGAUGUAAAACUGAAGUUUUGAGUGGAAAAGUACUGAGAUAUAAGUGGUCUAUAAAGAUUAUUCUGAUAAUGAGGCGAAGGACAGCUUGGAGUGGGGAAGACUAGAAGCAGAAAAACCAGCUGCAGCUUUGUGAAAUAAGACCCUGAAAAAUCAGAGAAGUCAUAUCAUGUGAUGUUAAAGAAAACCGGAGCUAUGACAGAGACAAUUCAGCCAUCUUGUCCAGGGAAAGCCUGUGGCCUGGCUCCCUCAAGGGACUGGGCAGGUCACAUGAGCUCUGGGGUUCUCCGAAGUUCCAGGUCCCUCAGUUUCUGCCCAUCAGAGGAGUUGUAGUUAAAUGGAUUUUAUUUUAUUUUUUGCUGCUCCAAUAUUAUUUUCUGAAACCACUGAAUUGUUAAUAAUAAAUUACUGAACACGUUGCUCCUCA
Antechinus flavipes (yellow-footed antechinus) is the source of this 1759-nucleotide RNA transcript. It is a transcript of the gene named zona pellucida binding protein 2, with no coding region annotated. The record is from RefSeq and is a predicted model, not a curated record. The transcript is spliced from 10 exons. NCBI's taxonomy places the organism in Eukaryota, Metazoa, Chordata, Mammalia, Dasyuromorphia, Dasyuridae.